CCGAUCCUCCCUGCUCUCCCGCCAGCCAUCAAUCUCCAUCGUCGCUCUCCUCCCAAUCUUCAGUGGCAUCGGGCUUCCCCCUCCAAUCUCCUACAGGUGCUCUCCUUUCCACAGGUCCGCCUCUGUCGUGCUCGUUCUCCCUGGAUCGCCGCUCCCUCGGACCUCAACUGUCGCUCCCAAGCCCCCGUCUCCCUUUGACCGCCA
This 204-nucleotide long non-coding RNA is filed under the name Elaeis guineensis (African oil palm). Its description in RNAcentral is "long non-coding RNA (EGUI_LNC020832)". Lineage: Eukaryota; Viridiplantae; Streptophyta; Magnoliopsida; Arecales; Arecaceae. The record is from RNAcentral.